CUCACUAACUUUGGAAAAAUAAUUACAAUUGGAGAUAAAAAGAUAAAUGAUUUAAAGGUUUCAAUUAGACUCUCUUCUACCUGCAGGUAAAAUGAGUGUCCUUACCUGUGGUAGAGAGUGCCCAGAGGAGAAACAGAGAAAACAGCAGCUUCAUUGUGAUGAACAGAUGAAACACCUGAACCACUGUCUGACAAAUAUUAACUAUAAAAGGAAGCCUUUGGCUGCUGAGGAUGAAACUGCAAGGGCAAACAACCUGAACUGUUAUUAUGUCCAAUUGGAAAUAGACACUUUCAAGGAAUACCUUGAUAUCUCGGACAAUGUAAAGUACAAUAAAAAUAACACGACAAAUUUAUGCACUGUUAUAUUUUUUUCUUUAAC
Molecule: long non-coding RNA, 378 nt
Organism: Oreochromis aureus
Lineage: Eukaryota; Metazoa; Chordata; Actinopteri; Cichliformes; Cichlidae
Source: Ensembl